Rattus norvegicus (Norway rat) is the source of this 2109-nucleotide non-coding RNA. The record is from RefSeq and is a predicted model, not a curated record. Lineage: Eukaryota; Metazoa; Chordata; Mammalia; Rodentia; Muridae.
UUGGUUCCAUUACUAUAGGCAGAAAUAUUUUCAGAACAAAAUCUGCUUCCUAAAUGUCAUAGUUUAGGGCUCACCUGCUUUGUUUUGCAACAUACCCUGUUUUUGCUUUUUGUUUGUUUGUUUUGUUUUGUUUUUUGAAAAACUGCUUUUAUUUGUUGUAACACAAAACUGUUAUUUAGCCUAUUAAUUUAAAAUUAAUAUUUUGUAAUUACAUCCUUGAUUUAUAUGAAAACAAGUCACUAUACCAUUUAUUUCACUUCUUAGUGUGUUUUUAUUGAAUUUCGCCAGGUCCAUUAAUGAACAUAAGAGGAAGGACCAUGGAAAGGAGUAUAUCUCUUACAUAUUCAUAGAAGAUUAUGCCAAGCAGGAAUACUGUGUAUCAGACCUAAAUUUCAUUGGAAGAACCUGACUGAGGAAGUGAAAAGGAAAGGAUGGGAAAUAGGAAAACAUUUGAAAAUAAGGCUGUUGACAGGCUGGAGAGGAAGGAGGAGAUUGAAAAUUUAAAUUGUGCUACCUGAAACAAUGUAUUUUCAUGGAUACAAAUAUGUCUUUGCCUAUUUAAAAAAGUACUAGUUACUAUGAGGUAGGAUUUAUCCAUGUCAGUUAUGGUACAAUAUGCUUUAGGAAUUUAAUUCCUAGGGACUUAAAUUGAAAGUUAGUAGUAUGGUUAUUUAAAAACUCAUUAAAACAAUUUAAAAAGAGAUAAUUUCUCACUGUAAUUGUGUACUUUUCUCCAUUUCCAUUGCUUAUAUAGAUAUGUAUUACUUCUUACCAUCUUGUAAAUGAUGUUUAGUUACUUAUAAUAGUUUUUCUUUAUGUGAGCAUAGUUAUAAAUACAGAUGAUAGUGUAAAAUAAUACAAAGAAUAGUGUACUCUACCUUACUUAUCUGUUUGUAAAUACUCAUUUGUGUGUGUGUGUGAAUAUGUGUGUGUGUGUGUGUGUGUGUGUGUACUUUUAAUGUGAGUGAGGCAUGUGCCUUGAGAGUGUGGCGGUUGCUGUGGCAACAGAAGCAAGCAAGUCUUUGUUACCUAAGGAUGAUGUCAUUGCUGGAUUCAGAGGCUAGCUGUAAACCACUUCUGAUGAUAACAUACCUCCCUUUUUCUUAUCAUAGAGAGAAGAAAAAAGGGAAACAGGGGAAGCCAAUGCUAAAAGGGAAAUAGGGGCUUUAGACCUCUUAAACUGCUCCCUGCUGUCUAGGAGCAUUAUCAGUUUUGGGAUGUAGCUGACUUUCACCAUCCAGGCCCACUUGAUAGUUCUGUAAAAGGAACUGUUUGACUUUUUGGUUAUAAUAUUUUGAAUUUGUCUUUGAAGGAAUGUGGAAACAAGAUUAAUGAGGCAGGGAGGAAAUAGUAGGUCCAGGAAAAUGGGGAGAAGAGGCAGUAAGAAGGGCAGUAUGCUAUUUCCAUUUAGGGUUUUGAAAAACCCAGGAAUUGGAGGCCCCAUGCUGUUCCCUGCAUUUCUGGAUGUCUGAUUGCAGCUGAUGGAAUGUAUUUCUUACUGCCCCAGAUUCGUUGACAUAGAAACAGCAUUCUUCCUGGUGAAACAGACAAAGACCACCUUCUUUAGCUGUCAGGAAUUCUAGUCCCUGUCAGUUCUGAAGCACAACUGCUGCCAACGAAUCGAUCUUUUUCUGGAUGAUGAGCAUGGUUUCAUACAUUCCUUGGAAACCGUUGUCAAGCUGGGAUAAGAACUUCUUGUAUAGGGUUAGAGAAGUCUUUGGCCCUGCUGUUCCAGUGCCAGCACCUGUAGCUACUCCUGCAGCAACCAGGAAUGGCACAACCUGCAGUGCCCUCUUAUGCUGGACAGGAAUGUCAAAAACUGGAAUUGGUAGAGAUUCUUUGCCAUGUAUUACUCCUAGUUCAGGGAAGGAACACCAGUGUGCAAACUCUUCCUGACCAGCUGGCAGGAGACUGGAGAGAUGACGGAGAAGUUAAGAACAUGUACUACUUUUGAAGAAGACCCAUGUUAGAUUCAAAGAACAAGAUGAUUCAUAAUCACUGGUAAUUUCAGUUUCAGGGACCCAAUACCCUUCCUUUUCUAGCCUCCACAGGCAACCCUAUGCAUGCAAAUAUUCACACAUAAUUUAAUAAAGACAUACCCCACACACA